RNAcentral lists this ribosomal RNA (465 nucleotides) under Vreelandella stevensii. Its description in RNAcentral is "partial 16S ribosomal RNA". It matches the Rfam family "Bacterial small subunit ribosomal RNA", at positions 338 to 795 of the family's 1533-position model. Lineage: Bacteria; Pseudomonadati; Pseudomonadota; Gammaproteobacteria; Oceanospirillales; Halomonadaceae. The record is from RNAcentral.
CCUACGGGGGGCAGCAGUGGGGAAUAUUGGACAAUGGGGGGAACCCUGAUCCAGCCAUGCCGCGUGUGUGAAGAAGGCCCUCGGGUUGUAAAGCACUUUCAGUGAGGAAGAACGCCUGGUGGUUAAUACCCAUCAGGAAAGACAUCACUCACAGAAGAAGCACCGGCUAACUCCGUGCCAGCAGCCGCGGUAAUACGGAGGGUGCGAGCGUUAAUCGGAAUUACUGGGCGUAAAGCGCGCGUAGGUGGCUUGAUAAGCCGGUUGUGAAAGCCCCGGGCUCAACCUGGGAACGGCAUCCGGAACUGUCAAGCUAGAGUGCAGGAGAGGAAAGUAGAAUUCCCGGUGUAGCGGUGAAAUGCGUAGAGAUCGGGAGGAAUACCAGUGGCGAAGGCGGCCUUCUGGACUGACACUGACACUGAGGUGCGAAAGCGUGGGUAGCAAACAGGAUUAGAUACCCGUGUAGUC